Citrus sinensis (sweet orange) is the source of this 107-nucleotide non-coding RNA. The record is from Rfam. NCBI's taxonomy places the organism in Eukaryota, Viridiplantae, Streptophyta, Magnoliopsida, Sapindales, Rutaceae.
AUACCAUGAUAAGGACAUCUCCUGAAUAGCUACUUAAAUCUUUCCCAUGCAUCAUACAAACUCUCAUCUUCAAGUUAAUAGAAAUAUGUGAUCUUGUUCCUCAGUUU